AUCAGAGAGAGAGAGACACCAGGACAGCAAACAGGUGAGGACAGAGACAGAGGGAAAGAUGUUUACAGUUGGUGACCCUUGAGUUCAUUUUAUUCUUUAUGGGCUGAUUCUGAUUUUUUUAUUCACCUAUAUAUUUAUUUAUAUAAUUUAUGCAUAUAUAUUAAUAGUGUCAUCUUUAUUUCUUUCUCUCUCUUUCUCAUAAGAAGAGGAGAAUUGUUCACAGAGACAGGACAUCAAACAAGCAAACUACAGCACAGAAACAGAAUGUCGACAACGGCUGCGACCCAAGCCAAUGAAAGAUCUGUAUCUGAGGCCAGUCGGGACACAGUUUGCACCACAGGACUUUUAAUAGGUAUGAGUUUAGUAUCACGAUUCUGAUUGGUUAGAGGUCCUUUUUACUACUCUGAUUAGCUUAAUAACUGGAGAAGUGAUGUUUCAUUGCUUUGCUCGAUGGAGAAUAAUUCUGAUUUGAUUUUAAAGCAAUAUAUCACCCAGCAAUGAAAAUUCUGUCAUCAUUUAUUCACUAUC
This is a long non-coding RNA of Cyprinus carpio (common carp), 528 nucleotides long. The record is from Ensembl. NCBI's taxonomy places the organism in Eukaryota, Metazoa, Chordata, Actinopteri, Cypriniformes, Cyprinidae.